This 73-nucleotide transfer RNA is filed under the name Methylacidiphilales bacterium. RNAcentral describes it as "Candidatus Methylacidiphilales bacterium tRNA-Arg". It matches the Rfam family "tRNA". Rfam says of the family: Transfer RNA (tRNA) molecules are approximately 80 nucleotides in length. Their secondary structure includes four short double-helical elements and three loops (D, anti-codon, and T loops). Lineage: Bacteria; Pseudomonadati; Verrucomicrobiota; Methylacidiphilae; Methylacidiphilales. The record is from RNAcentral.
GACCCUAUAGCUCAAAUGGAUAGAGCACCGGUUUCCUAAACCGAGAAUCCCGGUUCAAUUCCGGGUGGGGUCA